AUGCGUGUGUACCAAAAAUGUCCAUUCAGUCUUACAACAAUCCAGUUCGAUUACACAUGAACUUAUCUACUUAACACAAAGCUAGACUAAUAAUGUAGCAUACUUAAGAAAAACAAUCCAAAAGGCAACAGAAUGGGAUAAAAGACAGUUGAAAUGAGGCUUUCAAAUCCUUUUCUCAUUUUUAUUCUUCAACUCCAAAAUUCACAAUCAAUAAAGCUUUACAGUGUGUACCUGAAAUAAGAUGGAAACCAAAAAGCCAAGCAGGGUCAGUUAGCUAGUAGCUUAGUAGCACAACAACAGGUUUGAGCAAAAAUCUAACUCAAAACAAGUGAGACACUAAUAGAACCCCGUGAACCAACUUUGAGAUAGUUUCCAAACCCAAAUCAACUUAUUUGGUUUUACCUCAAUGGAACCAGAAAAGCUUAAGAACUUGGAAAAAUUUCUAAAAUCCCAAACAAAAGAUCAAUAGAACAGUGAAACUUCAAACAAACUGAAUCCAAAGUAUUUCCAACACACGAUCAAACCAUUUUCACUCAAAAGGACUUGGAACCUGUUUGAUAAUCAAGAAAACAACUUAAAAUUCCGGGCAGAAUGCCAAUGGAAUAGUAUUGUUCCUAAAUUUUUAGUUGUCUGCUCUUGUUCUGAUUUUUUAGCCGUCUCUCCCUUUAGGAUUAGUUUUC
Molecule: long non-coding RNA, 680 nt
Filed under: Nicotiana benthamiana
Lineage: Eukaryota; Viridiplantae; Streptophyta; Magnoliopsida; Solanales; Solanaceae
Description: long non-coding RNA (NBEN_LNC027130)
Source: RNAcentral